This 579-nucleotide ribosomal RNA is filed under the name uncultured organism. RNAcentral describes it as "bacterial SSU rRNA". It matches the Rfam family "Bacterial small subunit ribosomal RNA", at positions 338 to 917 of the family's 1533-position model. The record is from RNAcentral.
CCUACGGGAGGCAGCAGUGAGGAAUAUUGGUCAAUGGACGAGAGUCUGAACCAGCCAAGUAGCGUGCAGGAUGACGGCCCUAUGGGUUGUAAACUGCUUUUAUAAGGGAAUAAAGUGAGUCUCGUGAGACUUUUUGCAUGUACCUUAUGAAUAAGGACCGGCUAAUUCCGUGCCAGCAGCCGCGGUAAUACGGAAGGUCCGGGCGUUAUCCGGAUUUAUUGGGUUUAAAGGGAGCGUAGGCCGGAGAUUAAGCGUGUUGUGAAAUGUAGAUGCUCAACAUCUGCACUGCAGCGCGAACUGGUUUCCUUGAGUACGCACAAAGUGGGCGGAAUUCGUGGUGUAGCGGUGAAAUGCUUAGAUAUCACGAAGAACUCCGAUUGCGAAGGCAGCUCACUGGAGCGCAACUGACGCUGAAGCUCGAAAGUGCGGGUAUCGAACAGGAUUAGAUACCCUGGUAGUCCGCACGGUAAACGAUGGAUGCCCGCUGUUGGUCUGAAUAGGUCAGCGGCCAAGCGAAAGCAUUAAGCAUCCCACCUGGGGAGUACGCCGGCAACGGUGCAACUCAAAGGAAUUGACGGA